AGAGUUUGAUCAUGGCUCAGAUUGAACGCUGGCGGUAUGCUUAACACAUGCAAGUCGAACGGUAACAGGCAAAGCUUGCUUUGCGCUGACGAGUGGCGGACGGGUGAGUAACGCGUAGGAAUCUGCCUUAUAGUGGGGGAUAGCCCGGAGAAAUCCGGAUUAAUACCGCAUACGCCCUACGGGGGAAAGUUGGGGAUCUUCGGACCUGACGCUAUUGGAUGAGCCUGCGUUAGAUUAGCUUGUUGGUGGGGUAAUGGCCUACCAAGGCAACGAUCUAUAGCUGGUCUGAGAGGACGAUCAGCCACACUGGGACUGAGACACGGCCCAGACUCCUACGGGAGGCAGCAGUGGGGAAUAUUGCACAAUGGGCGAAAGCCUGAUGCAGCAAUACCGCGUGUGUGAAGAAGGCCUGAGGGUUGUAAAGCACUUUCAAUUGUGAGGAAAAGCUUUUGGUUAAUAACCUUGAGUCUUGACGUUAGCAAUACAAGAAGCACCGGCUAACUCCGUGCCAGCAGCCGCGGUAGUACGGAGGGUGCAAGCGUUAAUCGGAAUUACUGGGCGUAAAGAGUACGUAGGUGGUCUAUUAAGUCAGAUGUGAAAGCCCCGGGCUUAA
RNAcentral lists this ribosomal RNA (613 nucleotides) under uncultured bacterium. Its description in RNAcentral is "bacterial SSU rRNA". It matches the Rfam family "Bacterial small subunit ribosomal RNA", at positions 8 to 612 of the family's 1533-position model. The record is from RNAcentral.